Molecule: small RNA, 293 nt
Filed under: Rhodococcoides kyotonense
Lineage: Bacteria; Bacillati; Actinomycetota; Actinomycetes; Mycobacteriales; Nocardiaceae
Description: Rhodococcus kyotonensis 5' ureB small RNA
Rfam family: 5' ureB small RNA
Source: Rfam by way of RNAcentral
CGUCCAUGAUCUGCGGGCAGAUGAAGUGGACAUGGCAGUCGAUUCCGCCUGCGGUGAGAAUCUUGCCGUUGCCCGCGAUGAUCUCCGUCGACGGCCCGAUCACGAGAUCGGGAUGCACCCCGGACAUCGUGUCCGGGUUACCCGCCUUGCCGAGCGCCACGAUUCGGCCGUCGCGAAUUCCGACAUCGGCCUUGACGAUGCCCCAAUGGUCGACGACGACCACUCCGGUGAUGACGGUGUCGGGUGCGCCGUCGGCACGCGACGCGCGGGACUGUCCCAUCGAUUCGCGAAUG